GUCGUGAUUCCACGGCCGUGUACUCGGUGUUUUCCGUCAACGGAUUACCCUCGAAGUUUAAUUGACCAUUGACUAGUCCUACCACGAGGACCAACAAGAUCGUUGCCAACAGGUUCAUGAUUCUGGAAUUAAUGCAAAAUUCGUAUGAAUAACAAAAACUUUUAGAAGGAGUUUAUUGAUUAAUAAUUUCAAGUAAUUAAUUAAUUUCAAUAAUUGUAAUUAACUUGACUAACGAACAGAAAAAAAAAUUAAUACUUGGAAGCGUUUUGUCGUUUUAUCAUUCUAUCGCUGGCCAACGAAAAGAAAGGAACGAGUUAUAAAAAUUUUAAUUUUAUUAUUUAUAUUCCAUAUAAAUAUAUAUUUGUUACGAUAAUUAAUCAUUGAGCUAAUCUUAGAAUUAAUAUUAUAUAAUAUUUCAUUUUGCAGUUUAAUUGAAAUAUAUGGAAAAGUAGAUCGAUUGUACAUUCAUCGAUGAAUCGAUCGACAUGGGUUAAAGACCAGCGUAACACUUUCUUCGGUCAAGGUGAACAUAAUCACGCUGAUAUGAAACACGUUUUCAUUAAUCGCUUCCCGAUAAAGAUAUUUCUUUUGUCACGUCAUUAAAAUUAUAUAUCUACUAUUCUUUUUUAUUUAUCAUGGAAGUCUUAUUGCUUCAAAAUCGUAAAUCUUUCAUAAGAAAGAGAAUCGUAAAUAAAUCUAUAAAACAUUUCUAUUUGAAUUUCAUGAAAUAAACCGGUGAAUUAUGAAUCGAGACAUUACCAGAAGACAUAGAUCACAUAUCACAUAUCUAUUAUACAUAAACUAUGAUUUUUGAAAUUACAUUUUUGA
Apis florea (little honeybee) is the source of this 828-nucleotide long non-coding RNA. RefSeq lists it as uncharacterized. The record is from RefSeq and is a predicted model, not a curated record. Lineage: Eukaryota; Metazoa; Arthropoda; Insecta; Hymenoptera; Apidae.